Molecule: ribosomal RNA, 133 nt
Filed under: Selenomonadales bacterium
Lineage: Bacteria; Bacillati; Bacillota; Negativicutes; Selenomonadales
Description: Bacterial large subunit ribosomal RNA
Rfam family: Bacterial large subunit ribosomal RNA
Source: Rfam by way of RNAcentral
CCCCCCCCAAGAUGAGAUAUCCCACAGCGUAAGCUGGUAAGACCCCAAGUAGACCACUUGGUAGAUAGGCCGGGAGUGUAAGAGCAGUAAUGCUUUCAGCCGACCGGUACUAAUAGGUCGAGGGCUUGACUAU